Molecule: transfer RNA, 73 nt
Filed under: Stegodyphus mimosarum
Lineage: Eukaryota; Metazoa; Arthropoda; Arachnida; Araneae; Eresidae
Rfam family: tRNA
About the family: Transfer RNA (tRNA) molecules are approximately 80 nucleotides in length. Their secondary structure includes four short double-helical elements and three loops (D, anti-codon, and T loops).
Source: Rfam by way of RNAcentral
GCCUUCGUGGUGUAAUGGUCAGCACACUGAGCCGGUAUUUCAGAGGUCCGUGGUUCGAUUCCCAGUGAAGGCA